GAUGAACGCUGGCGGCGUGCCUAACACAUGCAAGUCGAGCGAACAGACGAGGAGCUUGCUCCUCUCACGUUAGCGGCGGACGGGUGAGUAACACGUGGAUAACCUACCUAUAAGACUGGGAUAACUUCGGGACUCCGGGGCUAAUACCGGAUAAUAUAAUGCACCGUAUGGUUCAAUAGUAAAAGACGGUUUUGCUGUCACUUAUAGCUGGUUCCGCGCCGCAUGAGCUAGUUGGUAAGGUAACGGCUUACCAAGGCAGCGAUGCGUAGCCGACCUGAGAGGGGGAUCGGCCACACUGGAGCGGGGACACGGACCAGACGCCUACGAGAGGCAGCAGUAGGCAAUCUGCGGCAAUGGUGGAGAGCAUGACGGAGCAAGGGCGCGUGAGUGAUGAAGGCCUUCGGAGCGUAAAACUCUGUUAUUAGGGAUGAACAAAUGUGUAAGUAGCGAAGCACGGCUUGACGGUACCUGAUCAGAAAGCCACGGCUAACUACGUG
Molecule: ribosomal RNA, 497 nt
Filed under: uncultured bacterium
Lineage: Bacteria
Description: partial 16S ribosomal RNA
Rfam family: Bacterial small subunit ribosomal RNA
Source: RNAcentral